RNAcentral lists this transfer RNA (69 nucleotides) under Ictidomys tridecemlineatus (thirteen-lined ground squirrel). RNAcentral's name for it is "Spermophilus tridecemlineatus (thirteen-lined ground squirrel) tRNA". It matches the Rfam family "tRNA". From Rfam's summary of the family: Transfer RNA (tRNA) molecules are approximately 80 nucleotides in length. Their secondary structure includes four short double-helical elements and three loops (D, anti-codon, and T loops). The record is from Rfam by way of RNAcentral. Lineage: Eukaryota; Metazoa; Chordata; Mammalia; Rodentia; Sciuridae.
GGAGUUGUGGCUCAGUGGUAGAGUACUUACCUAGCAUGUGUGAGGCCCUGGGUUCAAUUCUCAGCACCA